Phoenix dactylifera (date palm) is the source of this 800-nucleotide long non-coding RNA. RefSeq lists it as uncharacterized. The record is from RefSeq and is a predicted model, not a curated record. NCBI's taxonomy places the organism in Eukaryota, Viridiplantae, Streptophyta, Magnoliopsida, Arecales, Arecaceae.
ACGCCCACCAUAAAAAAAAUCAGAAAACGCCCCAGAAAAAUACCCGAUCCCUUUCCCCUCCCCCUCUCUCUCCCCCCUCUCCCCAUGGCAACGGAGGGUUCCGUCCUCGACCCUGUAAACGCCUGCCCGAUCUCGACCGGCCUCCGCGGAUCCGGCGGCGGCGCCUCCCCUCAUCGGCCCCCACAUCCCCCUCCUCUAUCGCCGUAGAUCCUCGAGCCGAACCCACGGGAUCUCCUCACCUCUCGAGUGCGGUGUACAUAGACGGCAGACAGGAUGAAGCCAGGCAACGGAAGGCAUCGAUCGAGCGCUAACGCAUACGAUUCUUGGCUAAAUAUUGUUAUGAACAUGAUUGUGUUUGUAUAAGAUAGACUAUCAGACCAAAAGUUUACGGUCAUGAAUUUUUGCAAUAAAGAGACAAACGAACGUGAGGGGCUCCUUUGCUGUUCAGAAGAAAAGGUCUCACAACUGUGAACGGGAACAAAAAUGCAUGCUGUUAGAUGCCCUCGAAUCGCCCUUCUCAAAAACCUAGUAGAAUAAGGUGCCCCAACUGUUUGGAAGGUUUUGUGCCUAGAGGUUUACAAGCGGUGCAUAAUGAGAGAGAGAGAGAGAGAGAGAGAGAGAGAGAAUUGGAUGUUGCAAUACUUAUGGUUUUGUAAUAUUAUAUUAAGACUGAAUCUUGCAAUGCCUUGUGAUACCCAGGGAUACAGUGCUGUCUCCUAGUUACUUCAGUUCCAGCAGGUAGAGCCCAGAGCUGUAGGUUUCUAACAGAACAAGUCUUCAAUGGAGUCAAAAUCUACCUC